This is a long non-coding RNA of Synchiropus splendidus (mandarinfish), 491 nucleotides long. RefSeq lists it as uncharacterized. The record is from RefSeq and is a predicted model, not a curated record. The transcript has 5 exons. NCBI's taxonomy places the organism in Eukaryota, Metazoa, Chordata, Actinopteri, Syngnathiformes, Callionymidae.
GAUAUGCAGCCAUCAACCUCCUCCACCAUCCAUCCGUCCACAACCUCUGCCAGCCAGCCGUCAACCUCCUCCACCAUCCAUCCGUCCACAACCUCUGGCAGCCAGCCAUCAACCUCCUCCACCAUCCAUCCGUCCACAACCUCUGCUAGCCAGCCGUCAACCUCCUCCAAAAGAGCCUCCACAGGCCCUCUGAGCUUACCUCCAAGAAAAAGCACCAGAAGGAAGACAGAAGAUGGAUCGAAAGAAUGCAGCCAUAUGGUUGGAGAUGACGGGUAUUACCCAGUGAAACGGGUAGUAAAAACAAAAAAACAAAAGGGGAAAAUAAUGGAACUAAUCGAGUUGGAGCCCUGCUCCAUGUGUGGAAAGAUAUUCCAACUUGAGUGGGUACGGAUGGAAGAAACCAAAAAAUAACAAUUUGUUAAUAAUAAUAAAUACAUCUGCAAAAGUGUAAUCUUGAUGUUGUCAUGCAAUUCAUACAUGCGUACAAGGAG